GGGUUGUGAGGUUAAGCGACUAAGCGUACACGGUGGAUGCCCUGGCAGUCAGAGGCGAUGAAGGACGUGCUAAUCUGCGAUAAGCGUCGGUGAGGUGAUAUGAACCGUUAUAACCGGCGAUUUCCGAAUGGGGAAACCCAGUGUGUUUCGACACACUAUCAUUAACUGAAUCCAUAGGUUAAUGAGGCGAACCGGGGGAACUGAAACAUCUAAGUACCCCGAGGAAAAGAAAUCAACCGAGAUUCCCCCAGUAGCGGCGAGCGAACGGGGAGGAGCCCAGAGCCUGAAUCAGUGUGUGUGUUAGUGGAAGCGUCUGGAAAGGCGUGCGAUACAGGGUGACAGCCCCGUACACAAAAAUGCACAUAUUGUGAGCUCGAUGAGUAGGGCGGGACACGUGGUAUCCUGUCUGAAUAUGGGGGGACCAUCCUCCAAGGCUAAAUACUCCUGACUGACCGAUAGUGAACCAGUACCGUGAGGGAAAGGCGAAAAGAACCCCGGCGAGGGGAGUGAAAAAGAACCUGAAACCGUGUACGUACAAGCAGUGGGAGCCUCUUAAUGGGGUGACUGCGUACCUUUUGUAUAAUGGGUCAGCGACUUAUAUUCUGUAGCAAGGUUAACCGAAUAGGGGAGCCGAAGGGAAACCGAGUCUUAACUGGGCGUUAAGUUGCAGGGUAUAGACCCGAAACCCGGUGAUCUAGCCAUGGGCAGGUUGAAGGUUGGGUAACACUAACUGGAGGACCGAACCGACUAAUGUUGAAAAAUUAGCGGAUGACUUGUGGCUGGGGGUGAAAGGCCAAUCAAACCGGGAGAUAGCUGGUUCUCCCCGAAAGCUAUUUAGGUAGCGCCUCGUGAAUUCAUCUCCGGGGGUAGAGCACUGUUUCGGCAAGGGGGUCAUCCCGACUUACCAACCCGAUGCAAACUGCGAAUACCGGAGAAUGUUAUCACGGGAGACACACGGCGGGUGCUAACGUCCGUCGUGAAGAGGGAAACAACCCAGACCGCCAGCUAAGGUCCCAAAGUCAUGGUUAAGUGGGAAACGAUGUGGGAAGGCCCAGACAGCCAGGAUGUUGGCUUAGAAGCAGCCAUCAUUUAAAGAAAGCGUAAUAGCUCACUGGUCGAGUCGGCCUGCGCGGAAGAUGUAACGGGGCUAAACCAUGCACCGAAGCUGCGGCAGCGACACUAUGUGUUGUUGGGUAGGGGAGCGUUCUGUAAGCCUGUGAAGGUGGCCUGUGAGGGUUGCUGGAGGUAUCAGAAGUGCGAAUGCUGACAUAAGUAACGAUAAAGCGGGUGAAAAGCCCGCUCGCCGGAAGACCAAGGGUUCCUGUCCAACGUUAAUCGGGGCAGGGUGAGUCGACCCCUAAGGCGAGGCCGAAAGGCGUAGUCGAUGGGAAACAGGUUAAUAUUCCUGUACUUGGUGUUACUGCGAAGGGGGGACGGAGAAGGCUAUGUUGGCCGGGCGACGGUUGUCCCGGUUUAAGCGUGUAGGCUGGUUUUCCAGGCAAAUCCGGAAAACCAAGGCUGAGGCG
RNAcentral lists this ribosomal RNA (1526 nucleotides) under Escherichia coli. RNAcentral describes it as "partial 23S ribosomal RNA". It matches the Rfam family "Bacterial large subunit ribosomal RNA", at positions 1 to 1563 of the family's 2925-position model. Lineage: Bacteria; Pseudomonadati; Pseudomonadota; Gammaproteobacteria; Enterobacterales; Enterobacteriaceae. The record is from RNAcentral.